GAUGAACGCUGGCGGCGUGCCUAAUACAUGCAAGUCGAACGAGAUCUUCGGAUCUAGUGGCGAACGGGUGAGUAACGCGUUGGUACCUACCCUGAAAUGGGGAAUAACUGGCCGAAAGGUCGGCUAAUACCGCAUAAUACCGCAAGGUUAAAGUCGUAAGACGCUUCGGGAGGGGCCUGCGUCUCAUUAGCUAGUUGGUGAGGUAACUGCUCACCAAGGCGACGAUGGGUAGCUGGAUCGAGAGGUUGACCAGCCACACUGGGACUGAGAUACGGCCCAGACUCCUACGGGAGGCAGCAGUAAGGAAUCUUCCACAAUGGGCGAAAGCCUGAUGGAGCAACGCCGCGUGCAGGAUGACGGUCUUCGGAUUGUAAACUGCUUUUAUAUGGGAAGAUUAUGACGGUACCAUAUGAAUAAGCACCGGCUAACUACGUGCCAGCCGCCGCGGUAA
This 451-nucleotide ribosomal RNA is filed under the name uncultured bacterium. RNAcentral describes it as "partial 16S ribosomal RNA". It matches the Rfam family "Bacterial small subunit ribosomal RNA", at positions 28 to 523 of the family's 1533-position model. The record is from RNAcentral.